AGAGUAGGAGUUAUGGGAUGAAGUGGAGGGUGAGUACUAUUACGAGGUAGAGGAGCUGGAAGAAUACGAGUAGGAGGCAGACUACAAGGAGGAGGAAGAUUAGAAGGGGGACUAUAGACGAAAGACAAGGACUAAUAGUAGUAGGAGUAGGUGGAGGAGGACAUGUAGUAGGACUAGGAGGAGGAGUAGAACUAGUACGAGGACUAGAAGGAGGACAAGUAGCAGAAGGAAGAGGCAGCAGCAGCAUCUGCCGAGCAGCCAGCCAGACCACCAGGACAGGUCAUGACCAAAAAUGCUGUGAUCAUCCCAGAGAGAGCAGAAACAGAGGCAGCAUCGGAGCUAAGCUGACCCGACUUCGACUGAAACCGGUUCCUCUACCAAGCCUUCUUCUGGCGAAUGUCUGAGAACCGUUUUACUACCAAAACUGCCUGGUGCUCAAACGCAGUUAAAGUGGGUGGACAGUGUUCAACAGAUGUCCAAUUUCUCAUGCUCAGAUGUUGGCCAUAUUAUCUGCCCAGAGAAUUCUCCAGUGUCUUUACUGUUGCUGUGUACAUUCCUCUGGACGCAAAUUUAAAAAAUGCGCUGCAGGAAUUGUUAGAUGUCAUCAGCAGAAACAUGACUAAACAACUGGAUGGAAUUUUCAUUGUAGCUGGUGGUUUUAAUCAAACAGACCUCAGAACUGUUUUACCCAAAUUCCAGCAACAUGUUCAGAUCCCCACCGGAGGAAGAAAUUGACCACGUGUAUACAAAUAUUCCUGGCAGCUACAAAGCCCUCCCACGUCCUCACUUUGGCCUAUCAGAUCAUCUUUCUCUGCUUCUGCUGCCUACUCACUCUCAGCUCUUUCCAAAAAACAAAAGCCAAAAAAGAUGCCUUUCAGUCAGGCGACAAGGAAGCAUACAAUACUGCCAGAGCAGGACUGAAAGCUGGCAUCAAGGAGGCAAAGAGGAGACAUCGGCAGAGACCAGAAAGGGACCUCAAGGACUACACCAUUAAAGAUACGUGGCAGGUGAUGCAAAAUGUCACAGGCUUCAGGAGCAGGAGUGCCCCCAUCAUGUAUGAAGCGCCGUUGCCGGAUGGACAUUUCAUGCUCCUGUUUAGCUCCGUCACCUUCAGAGGACCAGCCACUGUCAGUAACCCCAGAUGGUCUUGGAGAAAGGGAAUAUAAUUAACGCUGCGGGUCCAGAUAUUAUACCUGACUGUGCAGUAAAGAGGCACUAAUCAGCUAGCCGAUGUUAUUAUUGACAUUUUUUAACAUCUCACACUAACAGGAGACUGCUCCCUCCUGCCUCAAGACAGCCACCAUCUUUCCUAUACCUUAAAAGUCUCCUUUGUCUCCAUCCUCUAGGGGGCCUGCAAAACCCCACCAACUGUGACCUCAUCCCGCCUAUGCUUUGCUGAAUGAAUAAAUGGAAAGUGACUGUGACCAUACUCAAUUUACAGAGCUGGUAAAUA
This is a long non-coding RNA of Acanthopagrus latus (yellowfin seabream), 1453 nucleotides long. RefSeq lists it as uncharacterized. Lineage: Eukaryota; Metazoa; Chordata; Actinopteri; Spariformes; Sparidae. The record is from RefSeq and is a predicted model, not a curated record. The transcript has 2 exons.